Molecule: ribosomal RNA, 984 nt
Filed under: human gut metagenome
Description: bacterial LSU rRNA
Rfam family: Bacterial large subunit ribosomal RNA
Source: RNAcentral
AUAACGGUCCUAAGGUAGCGAAAUUCCUUGUCAGGUAAGUUCUGACCCGCACGAAUGGCGUAACGAUAUGGGCGCUGUCUCGGCGAGAGGCUCGGCGAAAUUGGAUUAUCCGUGAAGAUACGGAUUACGCGUACCAGGACAGAAAGACCCUAUUGAGCUUUACUGUAGCUUGAAAUUGAAUUCGGGUCCUGCUUGUGCAGGAUAGGUGGGAGACUUUGAAGCAGAAACGUCAGUUUUGGUGGAGUCGCCGUUGAGAUACCACUCUGGUAUGAUUUGAAUUCUAACGUUCAUCCCUCUAACAUCAGGGGAACGGACAGUUUCUGGUAGGCAGUUUGACUGGGGCGGUCGCCUCCUAAAGAGUAACGGAGGCGCUCAAAGGUUCCCUCAGGUUGGUCGGAAAUCAACCUUCGAGUGUAAAGGCACAAGGGAGCUUGACUGCGAGACCUACAAGUCGAGCAGGUGCGAAAGCAGGACUUAGUGAUCCGGUGGUCCCGAAUGGAAGGGCCAUCGCUCAUCGGAUAAAAGUUACCAUAGGGAUAACAGGCUUAUCUCCCCCAAGAGUCCACAUCGACGGGGAGGUUUGGCACCUCGAUGUCGGCUCAUCACAUCCUGGGGCUGUAGUAGGUCCCAAGGGUUGGGCUGUUCGCCCAUUAAAGUGGUACGCGAGCUGGGUUCAGAACGUCGUGAGACAGUUCGGUCCCUAUCCGUCGCAGGCGUAGGAAAUUUGAGAAGACCUGUCCUUAGUACGAGAGGACCGGGAUGGACGUACCUCUGGUGUACCAGUUGUUCUGCCAAGGGCAUGGCUGGGUAGCUAUGUACGGAAUGGAUAAGCGCUGAAAGCAUCUAAGCGCGAAGCCAACUUCAAGAUAAGAUUUCCCACCGCAAGGUUAAGAUCCCAGGAAGACUACCUGGUUGAUAGGUCAGAGGUGUAAGUGCAGUAAUGUAUUUAGCUUACUGAUACUAAUAGAUCGAGGACUUGACCAA